RNAcentral lists this ribosomal RNA (460 nucleotides) under uncultured bacterium. Its description in RNAcentral is "partial 16S ribosomal RNA". It matches the Rfam family "Bacterial small subunit ribosomal RNA", at positions 338 to 795 of the family's 1533-position model. The record is from RNAcentral.
CCUACGGGUGGCAGCAGUGAGGAAUAUUGGUCAAUGGACGAGAGUCUGAACCAGCAAAGUAGCGUGAAGGAUGACUGCCCUAUGGGUUGUAAACUUCUUUUAUAUGGAAAUAAAAUGUUCCACGUGUGGGAUUUUGUAUGUACCAUAUGAAUAAGGAUCGGCUAACUCCGUGCCAGCAGCCGCGGUAAUACGGAGGAUCCGAGCGUUAUCCGGAUUUAUUGGGUGUAAAGGGAGCGUAGGUGGAUUGGUAAGUCAGUUGUGAAAGUUUGCGGCUCAACCGUAAAAGUGCAGUUGAAACUGGCAGUCUUGAGUACAGUAGAGGUGGGCGGAAUUCGUGGUGUAGCGGUGAAAUGCUUAGAUAUGACGAAGAACUCCGAUUGCGAAGGCAGUUCACUGGACUGCAACUGACACUGAGGCGCGAAAGUGUGGGUAUCAAACAGGAUUAGAUACCCGUGUAGUC